AGUAGGUGAAGGCAUUGGACAACCUAAAGCAUGUGAUCAGUCUACGUGUUUGUGUGAUGAUGAACCUAUAGGUAGAAAUAUGUCAAAUGUAUUCUGCAUUUCACAAUUAUCACUUUUCCUCAAAGUUCUGAGAUGUAAACACAGAAUAAAAAAUUUAAAAAAAAAACAAGAAUUGCAAGAUAUAAACUAAAAAUUGCAUGAGAAAAAAAGUUAGAAUUGCGAGAUAUAAAUUCUGAAUUCAUACUCUUUUCCUUAAAUUCUUAAUUUCCUUAGAAUCUCACACAUUUCAGUUUUUUGUUUCUACCAAAGGAUAAAAAUAAAAAAGGUAUUUCUCUUUUUUAAAUUAAAAUGUUCACAAUUUCAAAUUUAUUUCAAAGUUUGUCACGCAAUAAAAAAAACAAACAAAAAAACAACAACAACACAUAAUUCAGACAUUUUUCUUAUAACUGACUUUAUAUCUCACAAGUCUGCAUUGUGAGGUAAAAAGUAGCAAUAACCUUUUUAAUAUUUCUAUCCUAUAACAGAAACAAGCUUCCAUACUAAUCAGGAAUUUCAGAAAAUAUAAAAAUACAAAAUAAAUCAUCAGAGAAAAAUAUUCAGCUUAUGAGAAUGCAUUAAAUCUUUUCCAAUUCUCCUUUCCCCAGAAGUUCUGCAGAACUGCACGAUAAAAGGUACACCUGCUGUGCAUUAAUGCCUGAAACACUGAUCAAAUCAGUGCUGUCAGAGAUUAAGGAAAUGACUUCAUAUGUCAAACAUCAUUUGUAAAACGAUGAACUGUAUAAUGACCUUUGAUCCUUUGCUCUCCUUCCCAGAUUUUAAUGUGACCAUCUGCCCCUUCUACACCUCAGUUGAAAAGGAUUCGGACUUGACUUUGACCUGCAUUCAUAAUGUUCCCAACGCCUCCAUCAGCUGGCUAGAGGACGAUGUGUUACAGCAAGUAGAAGAUAAUACAAAAACAUUUCAUAUCAAGCGCAUUAAGAAAACCUCAGUCAUCAGCUGCAACGUUAGUAGCAUGUGUGGGAGCUUCAACUCUACGAUAACAAUUUAUGUAAAAGAUGGUGAUUUUAUGCUGGUUUUACUGAUCUGUGUUGGAGCAGCAGCUGCUCUCCUCAUGCUGUUUGCACUAGUCAUGAAGAUCAAGCUCAAGAAAGGACAAGCUCGGAGUCAGGCCAGGAAGAGACAAAGACAGCAGAACCUGCAGAACUUCGACAGCACCGUGAACACCGUCAGCAGCUACUACUGA
RNAcentral lists this long non-coding RNA (1243 nucleotides) under Carassius auratus (goldfish). RNAcentral's name for it is "lncRNA (ENSCARG00000062637.1)". Lineage: Eukaryota; Metazoa; Chordata; Actinopteri; Cypriniformes; Cyprinidae. The record is from RNAcentral.